Cebus imitator (Panamanian white-faced capuchin) is the source of this 480-nucleotide long non-coding RNA. RefSeq lists it as uncharacterized. Lineage: Eukaryota; Metazoa; Chordata; Mammalia; Primates; Cebidae. The record is from RefSeq and is a predicted model, not a curated record. The transcript is spliced from 4 exons.
GGUGCUCGGGGAUGUGGAGAGACUCGGGAAGGUGCGGAAAAGAGGGGCCUUGCGCUGGCCUGGCUGUUGAAGAGCCUCGCCCAGCCGGCCCCGGGUGCCCACGAUAGCCGAACCCAGGGUGGGGAUCCUGGUUAUCGUCAUCCCUCCUGCAGCCCCGAUGGGCGUUGAUUUCCUCUGUUACCAGAGAAAAACAACUGAGAGAUGGGAAAAAUGUAUUCCCUUGUGAUGGGAAAAAUGUAUUCAACUCCUGUACACUGUGCCAAAUUGACUUCUUUAAACACUGGAGAAACCUGCUUCCCCAAAUUUUACUCCCAGAAGAGGAUGCUUGCCCUUCUCAGUUGCUUGUCUGAAGUCUAGGAUCUUGUUUUAAUUUCCCAAGGACCCCCAUAAGGUCAUUCUAUGAGACUAACUAUCCCUAACCGUCCUGCAGAACAUGCUUUGGGGAAGUAUUAUUUUUUCUUUUUCAUAACAACUUUGGGG